UGAAUAAAAGGGGAGGAGCAGGGAGAGAAAGUGAAAUGAGAGGUGGUGGGGUGGGUGAGGAGCGAGGAAGCUGGAAAAAUAAGAGGAAACAGCUGGGAGCUAGGAAGUUGGGGAGGGACUUAAUGUAAGGUCAGUAAAACAGCUUGCAGAGGACAGGGUCAGGCCUGGGGGUAAAGGGCUAAGUAACUUCUGUCAACUAGUUGAGCAGAGCUUUGUGUGCUUUAUUUUGGAGACUAAAAUUACUUCAGAGGAAACAUCUAGAUUCUCUGAAUCUGAUCCAUUUUCCCUGUGUAUCAUAGUAAAUUGUUCACCAAGUCAGAAUCUAUCCUGCCCUCUAGGAAUUGUCCUCUUCAGGUCUAGCAAAGAGCUUGCUGCCACGGUUCAGGAAAUCAAGGGUGAAAUGCUUCACGUAGUAGUAGUGGAUAGCAGGCCAAUGAAAGGAAGAGGAAGGAGCACCAAUUCAGAAAGAGGGAGUUAUAAGAUCUGCAAUGUAUUAACAUGGUAACUCUUUGAAGCCUAAGAGAAACAGAAUCCUAUUUGAACCAUGGAGUCUGAGAUGAAGACGAAAUUGAGAUGUUUCUGUUGGAAUUUGGGUAAAGAGCGUUUAUUCAAUAUGUAUGUUCUUGCUCUGCCCCAGUCUUCUCAAGAGCUUCUGGACAGCCAUUAACAAGCACCAUUUUAAAAUUUUUUAUUUUUUUGCAAAUGGAUCAUUUUUUCGGUGAUGGAGAUGGAUGACUACUAGCACAAUGUGUGUAGUGUCAUUAUAUCCCUGUUUUAACCAGUGGAAUAUAUUUGGGGUGGAGGCUACACCACUGGAAAGAGCUUUUCCUUUGUACCAGAGUACCUGCUUAUGUAAGGAUUUAUGUUUUUGACUAUUAGCAUGAUGUCACUGAACUAAGCUUUCUAGUUUGGUUCAGCCCCACGAAGUUUGCGUGACCUGUCAACUUUUUUCAAGCUCAGCCAUCACCCUGGGCUUGGGGCAUCUGAGGGCAGGGAGGAACAGGUGUCCAAAGGAGAAAUGCUGGUGCCUGAGAGCAAUGUUUUCCAGUUGUAUUAAAUUUCUUACUUGGUGUAUUUUUGACCUGUCUUAGUUUCUUUCCUUCUUGUGUCCUAUGCUGUUUCGCUUGCUAUUUGUUGUAUGUCCUCUAUCAGCCAUUUAGGAGUUGUAAAAUGGAAGGUAUUUCUACUCAAAUGUUUUAUGGGUGGAACUGAAAGGUUAAGCAUGGUGUGUAGUAGCUUCCUUCAGGAAGAGUGAAGGUGAUAAAUGUGUUAACCAUGGCUUUGGAUAGGUUUUGGGUAUCUGGGGCAUAUGGCCCUUCUUAGAAACAAAGGAGUAUUUCAGGACUCUCAACUACCAGUAGGUCUGCUAGGGAAAUGGGUAGAUUUAUUCCCUGUCCCUUUGUUCUCCGUGACUAUGUUCAAGCUGUUAAAGGAUUUAAAUUGGUAUUUGCGGGGGGGGGGGGGGGGGUCUUUGUUGUUUCUCCUUCCUCACCUUACCAGUUAAGACAGAAAUAACUAGUGAUGACACUUUAGGUGGUGGAAUUGAAACACAAACCCAACUUCUGACCACAUGGGCCACAGGCAGUUGGCUUAAAGCCCUUGGUGUGGGGAGGUGGGAAGGGCGGAUUAACUUCUGCUUUCUUCUCAGAGAGGCUUGGUUGUUUUUGUUUUUGUGUCUCUCUUGUGUGUGUGGGAGGGGGUGUGGGGUGGAGGUGUUGGUGGGGUGGUUGUUACCUUUGGUUUGGUCUGGUAGAGUGUGUGUCCUUUCUCUUCAGUUGCACUGAGGCUGUUAAUGAAGGGUAUCAUUUCUCUAGCUGAUAUUUUUGGUAAAUAUUGCAGUCUUGAUUUUUACUAGUAGAUCUGUUAGUUCCAGCUUUCUUGCAUGAAGCAUUAGUUCUUAACUGCGAAUUUGAAGCUGCUCCUAAGUAGAUGGUCUCUAUGAAAAGUUUUGGAUUUGACUCGGUUUUGCUUUAUUGAGCAGUCUUUCUUGGGAAAAGUAAUUGACAAUAGCAGAGAUGGUUUCUAUUCCUCAGCUUCUGAAUCUAAUCUUAAUGUACUCACACGAUUUUAAAGUCCUUUUAAAAAUGGGAAGGAACUAUCCUGUUACUUUCUAAUGUUUGCUAAAAGUUGCUUUGGAAAUGCUAAUCUUAAUAGGUCUCUUCCUUUGUCAUGUGUCAUUAGCCUUUUGGCUGUUUACCU
RNAcentral lists this long non-coding RNA (2199 nucleotides) under Cervus hanglu yarkandensis (Yarkand deer). RNAcentral's name for it is "lncRNA (ENSCHYG00000015345.1)". The record is from RNAcentral. Lineage: Eukaryota; Metazoa; Chordata; Mammalia; Artiodactyla; Cervidae.